Molecule: ribosomal RNA, 2686 nt
Filed under: metagenome
Description: bacterial LSU rRNA
Rfam family: Bacterial large subunit ribosomal RNA (bases 1-2049)
Source: RNAcentral
CUAAGGGCGUGGGGGGGAUGCCUAGGCGUCAUCAGAAAAGUGAGCGUGGAAGGCUGCGAAAUGCUUGGGGAAGCUGCCGAACGAGCGUCGAUCCCGAGAUACUCACGAAAACCCAGGGAACUGAAACAUCUAAGUACCUGGUGGAAAAGAAAUCAACAGAGACUCCCUCAGUAGUGGCGAGCGAACGGGGAAGAGCCUAAACCGCGUGGGAUACCACGCGGGGUUGUGGGACCACUCAUUGGAAUUCGUUCCGAAAGAGUCAGAAAAAUGAAGUUCAGUCAAAGCCGUCUGGAAAGUCGCGCCAUAGCGGGUGAAAGCCCCUUAGACGAAGCACUUCAUUCUCUCGAGUGGCACCCAAGUAAGAUCGGGCACGAGAAACCCGGUCCGAAUCCACGGGGACCCUCCCGUAAGGCUAAGUACUCGAUGACGACCGAUAGCGAACCCAGUAGAGCGAUCGAACGGUGGGAAGAACCCCGAAAGGGGAGGACACUGAACCUGAAACCCCAUGCCUACGAGCGGUGGGAGGGCGUUAACGCCUGACCGCGUGCCUUUUGCAUAAUGAUCCGGCGAGUUAUGGUAAUCGGCCUGGUUAACCUCUUAAGGAGGGGAGCCCCAGGGAAACCGAGUCUGAAUAGGGCGACAUUGUCGAUUGCCAUAGACGCGAAACCAGGUGAUCUACCCAUGGGCAGGUUGAAGCGACCCUAACCGGUCGUGGAGGACCGAACCCACCAGUGUUGAAAAACUGGGGGACGACCUGUGGGGAGGAGUGAAAGUCCAGCCAAACCUGGAGAUAGCUCGUUCUCUCCGAAAUAGCUUUAGGGCUAGCCUCGGACCACUACAUCGUGGGGGUAGAGCGACGGAAUUUGGAUGGGGGGCUUCCCGCCUACCCACUGAAACCCAACUCCGAAUACCACGAUGAUUACUCCGGGAGACAGAACGUGUGGGAUAAGCUUCACGUUCAAGAGGGAAACAACCCAGACCGCCGAUUAAGGCCCCCAAGACGAUACUAAGUGGCAAAGGAAGUGGGAUCGCUAAGACAGCCGGGAUGUUGGCUUAGAAGCAGCCAUCAUUUCAAAAGUGCGUAAUAGCUUACCGGUCGAGCCAUCCCGCGCCGAAAAUGACGGGGACUCAAGUAUCGCGCCGAAAUCGCGGAUUCGAAAGAAUGGUAGGAGAGCGUUGCCCUCGGCGUCGAAGGCGGACCGUAAGGACCGCUGGAGCGUGGGCAAGUGCGUAUGCCGGAACGAGUAACGAUAAGAUGGGUGGGAAGCCCAUCCGCCGAAAGCUCAAGGGUUCCUGGGGAAGGUCAAUCCGCCCAGGGUUAGUCGGGACCUAAGACGAGGCCGAAAGGCGUAGUCGAUGGACAGCAGGUUAAUAUUCCUGCACCCGGUAUGAAGGUUGAACUGCAGAGGACGCCGUGCAAUGGGCGGUCGGGGUGCUAGACGUCCCCGUGCCGCAAGGCCGACAGCAUUGUUCUGGAAGCCGCCUUGACACAUGGCCACGAAAAGCCCUGCAGGGACGACAUACUUGGCCCGUACCGUAAUCCGACACAGGUGAGCGAGGUGAGUAUCCAAAGGCGUUCGGGAGAACUCUCGUGAAGGAACUCGGCAAAUUGACCCCGUAACUUCGGGAUAAGGGGUGCUCACCGCAAGGUGAGCCGCAGAGAAUCGGCUCUAGCGACUGUUUAUCAAAAACACAGGACGCUGCGAAUUCGCAAGAAGAUGUAUAGCGUCUGACGCCUGCUCGGUGUCGGUAGGUUAAGGAAGCCGGUCAGCGAAAGCAAAGCUGGCGACCGAAGCCCCGAUAAACGGCGGCCGUAACUAUGAACAUGGCAGGACCAGCAGCCCUCAAAAGCUGCCGCCAACGUAGUUCCGUGAACAAAUUCGGCUAUAUGCUGGAAACUCCGGUGUAUCCGGUGGUACUCGAUCACAUCACAAUGAUCAGUGAAAAUCCAUCCGGUGCGGACAAUCAGCAGGAAAGGCCGAAGCUAAGAUGAUCGAUCUAAGCCAAAUUCCUGAUUCACUUGGGUAUUACUUUACUGGUUUCGUCGAUGGUGAAGGCAGUUUCAAUAUCAGCUUUCGUCGUCGUCGUGACUACAAAAUGCCUUGGAAAGUGUCGCUUUGUUUGAAUGUCUCCCAGAAAGAUCAAAUCAUUCUGGAAACCUUUCAAAAUCUAAUCAAAUGCGGCUCAAUCCGAUAUAAAGGCAACGGCGUCUGGAUGUUCGAGACGAAUCACCUCGAAUCCAUACGACAAAACAUUAUUCCCUUCUUUCAGCGUUUUCCAUUCCUUUCAGGUAAGAAAAAACGCGAUUUUAAGAUCUUUUGCCAAAUGGCAGAUCUUAUGUCAGACGGUGCUCAUCUGCAUCGGGAAGGAAUCGUCAAACUCCUAGAGUUAAGACGGGUUAUGAAUGAUGGUGGUAAACGUAAAUACUCAGAAAAUCAGAUUCUGGCAAUCAUCUAACUUCGGAAUCCUCAGAGACUAUACGCCGAACCCGAUCAUAUCGGGAUGAUAUAGUCCGACCCUUAUGGCGACAUAAGGAGCCAGGCAGAAAUGAUCUGGCACGCUCUGAAAAGCGAUUAACAAAAGUGGACGGUCCUAAGGUUAACCAAUAGCUAGCCUUAGUAAAACUUGGCUGUAUGCUGGAAACUCCGGUGUAUCCGGUGGUACUCAAUCACAUCAUGUGAUCAGU